RNAcentral lists this ribosomal RNA (253 nucleotides) under uncultured bacterium. Its description in RNAcentral is "partial 16S ribosomal RNA". It matches the Rfam family "Bacterial small subunit ribosomal RNA", at positions 524 to 776 of the family's 1533-position model. The record is from RNAcentral.
UACGUAGGGGGCGAGCGUUGUCCGGAUUUAUUGGGCGUAAAGAGCGUGUAGGCGGCCAGGUAGGUCUGCUGUGAAAACUCGAGGCUCAACCUCGAGACGUCGGCGGAAACCAUCUGGCUAGAGUCCGGAAGAGGAGAGUGGAAUUCCUGGUGUAGCGGUGAAAUGCGCAGAUAUCAGGAAGAACACCCGUGGCGAAAGCGGCUCUCUGGAACGGUACUGACGCUGAGACGCGAAAGCGUGGGGAGCAAACAGG